Molecule: ribosomal RNA, 777 nt
Filed under: uncultured Neocallimastigales
Lineage: Eukaryota; Fungi; Neocallimastigomycota; Neocallimastigomycetes; Neocallimastigales
Description: partial large subunit ribosomal RNA
Rfam family: Eukaryotic large subunit ribosomal RNA
Source: RNAcentral
UAUGUGAUCGUCUCUCGCAUAUCAAUAAGCGGAGGAAAAGAAACUAACAAGGAUUCCCCUAGUAACGGCGAGUGAAGCGGGAAGAGCUCAAAUUUGAAAUCUUAAAGGGUUUCCCUUGACGAAUUGUAGUUUAAAGAAGUGUUUUCUGUUAGUGGAGUUUGGUAAAAGUUCUUUGGAAUAGGACAUCAUAGAGGGUGAGAAUCCCGUAUUUGACCUUUACUUUCAACUUUGUGAUACACUUUCAAAGAGUCGGAUUGUUUGGGAAUGCAGUCCAAAAGUGGGUGGUAAAUUUCAUCUAAAGCUAAAUAUUGGCGAGAGACCGAUAGCGAACAAGUACCGUGAGGGAAAGAUGAAAAGAACUUUGAAAAGAGAGUUAAACAGUACGUGAAAUUGUCAAAAGGGAAGCGUUUGACACCAGUGUUGUUUUUCUGAAAAUCAAUUAAAGAACUGUUUAUGCUAAGCUGUUUAAACUUUAUCAGCUAUCUGUUUAGUUUUGAGCUUUUCUUUAAUGCACUUUUCAGUUAACAAGUCAACAUCAAUUUCUUUUGCUGUAAAAAAGCUUGAGGAAGGUGGCUUGAGAUUCGUCUUAAGUGUUUAUAGCCUCUUGCCUAUGCAGUCGGAGAGAUUGAGGUCUGCAGCGUAGAUCCUUCGGGGCUAAAUGCAUUUGUGCUAAGUUAUAGCAUUUUAUAGACAACUUGUUGACUAUGAUUUGUCUUGUAGCUUACUCGCUUAUGUUAUUUUACCUACGCUUAGGAUGUUGAGCGCAUGUCUCUCUCU